CCUACGGGAGGCAGCAGUCGAGAAUCAUUCACAAUGGGGGAAACUCUGAUGGUGCGAAGCCGCGUGCGGGAAUGAAGGUCUUCGGAUUGUAAACUCCUGUCAUGUGGGAGCAAAUUAAAAAGAUAGUACCACAAUAGGAGUAGACGGCUAACUCCGUGCCAGGAGCCGCGGUAAUACGGAGGGGGCGAGCGUUAAUCGGAAGUACUGGGCGUAAGGCGCUGGUAGUCGGUAUGUAAAGCUAAGGGUGAAAUCCCGGCGCGUAACGGGUGAACUGCCUUGGUAACUGUCAAACUGGAGUGUGAGAGAGGAUAGUGGAAUUCCAGGUGUAGGAGGGAAAUGCGUAGAUAUCAGGAGGAACACCAGUGGCGAAGGCGACUAUCUGGCACAUAACUGACGCUGAGGAGCGAAAGCGUGGGUAGCAAACAGGAUUAGAUACCCGGGUAGUC
Molecule: ribosomal RNA, 446 nt
Filed under: uncultured bacterium
Lineage: Bacteria
Description: partial 16S ribosomal RNA
Rfam family: Bacterial small subunit ribosomal RNA
Source: RNAcentral